GAUGAACGCUGGCGGCGUGCCUAAUACAUGCAAGUCGAGCGAACGGACGAGAAGCUUGCUUCUCUGAUGUUAGCGGCGGACGGGUGAGUACCACGUGGAUAACCUACCUAUAAGACUGGGAUAACUUCGGGAAACCGUAGCUAAUACCGGCUAAUAUUUUGAACCGCAUGGUUCAAAAGUGAAAGACGGUCUUGCUGUCACUUAUAGAUGGAUCCGCGCUGCAUUAGCUAGUUGGUAAGGUAACGGCUUACCAAGGCAACGAUGCAUAGCCGACCUGAGAGGAUGAUCAGCCACACUGGAACUGAGACACGGUCCAGACUCCUACGGGAGGCAGCAGUAGGGAAUCUUCCGCAAUGGGCGAAAGCCUGACGGAGCAACGCCGCGUGAGUGAUGAAGGUCUUCGGAUCGUAAAACUCUGUUAUUAGGGAAGAACAUAUGUGUAAGUAACUGUGCACAUCUUGACGGUACCUAAUCAGAAAGCCACGGCUAACUACGUG
Molecule: ribosomal RNA, 497 nt
Filed under: uncultured bacterium
Lineage: Bacteria
Description: partial 16S ribosomal RNA
Rfam family: Bacterial small subunit ribosomal RNA
Source: RNAcentral